CUACUUACCUGGCAGGGGAGACACCAUGAUCAGGCAGGUGGUUCUCCCAGGGCAAGGCUCAUCCCUUGCACUCCGGGUGUGCUGACCCCUGCGAUUCCCCAAAUGUGGGAAACUCAACUGCAUAAUUUGUGUAAUAUUUGUGGGGUGGUUUUUUUUAUCUACUGA
RNAcentral lists this small nuclear RNA (165 nucleotides) under Apaloderma vittatum (bar-tailed trogon). Its description in RNAcentral is "U1 spliceosomal RNA". It matches the Rfam family "U1 spliceosomal RNA". Rfam says of the family: U1 is a small nuclear RNA (snRNA) component of the spliceosome (involved in pre-mRNA splicing). Its 5' end forms complementary base pairs with the 5' splice junction, thus defining the 5' donor site of an intron. The record is from Rfam by way of RNAcentral. Lineage: Eukaryota; Metazoa; Chordata; Aves; Trogoniformes; Trogonidae.